This 119-nucleotide ribosomal RNA is filed under the name Oreochromis niloticus (Nile tilapia). Lineage: Eukaryota; Metazoa; Chordata; Actinopteri; Cichliformes; Cichlidae. The record is from RNAcentral.
CAGGCUGGUAUGGCCGUAAGCCAAGCUUACAGGACCUGGUAUUCCCAGGCGGUCUCCCAUCCAAGUACUGACCAGGCCCGACCCUGCUUAGCUUCCGAGAUCGGACGAGAUCGGGCGUA